Zostera marina is the source of this 74-nucleotide transfer RNA. It matches the Rfam family "tRNA". From Rfam's summary of the family: Transfer RNA (tRNA) molecules are approximately 80 nucleotides in length. Their secondary structure includes four short double-helical elements and three loops (D, anti-codon, and T loops). Further hydrogen bonds mediate the characteristic L-shaped molecular structure. tRNAs have two regions of fundamental functional importance: the anti-codon, which is responsible for specific mRNA codon recognition, and the 3' end, to which the tRNAs corresponding amino acid is attached (by aminoacyl-tRNA synthetases). tRNAs cope with the degeneracy of the genetic code in two manners: having more than one tRNA (with a specific anti-codon) for a particular amino acid; and 'wobble' base-pairing, i.e. permitting non-standard base-pairing at the 3rd anti-codon position. Lineage: Eukaryota; Viridiplantae; Streptophyta; Magnoliopsida; Alismatales; Zosteraceae. The record is from Rfam.
GACUCCGUAGCCCAAUGGAUAAGGCGCUGGUCUACGAAACCAGAAGACUCUGGGUUUGAUCCCCAGCGCAGUCG